GCCGGAUUAAUACCGCAUACGAUCUAAGGAUGAAAGCGGGGGAUCUUCGGACCUCGCGCUAUAGGGUUGGCCGAUGGCUGAUUAGCUAGUUGGUGGGGUAAAGGCCUACCAAGGCGACGAUCAGUAGCUGGUCUGAGAGGACGACCAGCCACACUGGGACUGAGACACGGCCCAGACUCCUACGGGAGGCAGCAGUGGGGAAUUUUGGACAAUGGGCGAAAGCCUGAUCCAGCAAUGCCGCGUGUGUGAAGAAGGCCUUCGGGUUGUAAAGCACUUUUGUCCGGAAAGAAAUCAUCCUGGCUAAUAUCCGGGGUGGAUGACGGUACCGGAAGAAUAAGCACCGGCUAACUACGUGCCAGCAGCCGCGGUAAUACGUAGGGUGCGAGCGUUAAUCGGAAUUACUGGGCGUAAAGCGUGCGCAGGCGGUUUGUUAAGACAGAUGUGAAAUCCCCGGGCUUAACCUGGGAACUGCAUUUGUGACUGGCAAGCUAGAGUAUGGCAGAGGGGGGUAGAAUUCCACGUGUAGCAGUGAAAUGCGUAGAGAUGUGGAGGAAUACCGAUGGCGAAGGCAGCCCCCUGGGCCAAUACUGACGCUCAG
Molecule: ribosomal RNA, 598 nt
Filed under: Burkholderia sp.
Lineage: Bacteria; Pseudomonadati; Pseudomonadota; Betaproteobacteria; Burkholderiales; Burkholderiaceae
Description: bacterial SSU rRNA
Rfam family: Bacterial small subunit ribosomal RNA
Source: RNAcentral